AGUGAACGCUGGCGGUAGGCCUAACACAUGCAAGUCGAACGGCAGCACAGUAAGAGCUUGCUCUUACGGGUGGCGAGUUGCGGACGGGUGAGGAAUACAUCGGAAUCUACUUUUUCGUGGGGGAUAACGUAGGGAAACUUACGCUAAUACCGCAUACGACCUACGGGUGAAAGCAGGGGAUCUUCGGACCUUGCGCGAUUGAAUGAGCCGAUGUCGGAUUAGCUAGUUGGCGGGGUAAAGGCCCACCAAGGCGACGAUCCGUAGCUGGUCUGAGAGGAUGAUCAGCCACACUGGAACUGAGACACGGUCCAGACUCAUAAGGGAGGCAGCAGUGGGGAAUAUUGGACAAUGGGCGCAAGCCUGAUCCAGCCAGACCGCGUGGGUGAAGAAGGCCUUCGGGUUGUAAAGCCCUUUUGUUGGGAAAGAAAAGCAGCAGGUUAAUACCCCGCUGUUCUGACGGUACCCAAAGAAUAAGCACCGGCUAACUUCGUG
Molecule: ribosomal RNA, 492 nt
Filed under: uncultured bacterium
Lineage: Bacteria
Description: partial 16S ribosomal RNA
Rfam family: Bacterial small subunit ribosomal RNA
Source: RNAcentral